Molecule: small nucleolar RNA, 70 nt
Filed under: Chelonoidis abingdonii (Abingdon island giant tortoise)
Lineage: Eukaryota; Metazoa; Chordata; Testudines; Testudinidae
Description: Small nucleolar RNA SNORD50 (ENSCABG00000017836.1)
Rfam family: Small nucleolar RNA SNORD50
About the family: U50 belongs to the C/D class of snoRNA which contain the C (UGAUGA) and D (CUGA) box motifs. Most of the members of the box C/D family function in directing site-specific 2'-O-methylation of substrate RNAs. U50 is an intronic snoRNA gene located on chromosome 6q15, at the breakpoint of chromosomal translocation t(3;6)(q27;q15).
Source: Rfam by way of RNAcentral
UAUCAGUGAUGAACCUAUCCCGAACCUGACUUGCUGAUGAGAAAUUUUAUAUGGAUCUGGCUUCUGAGAU